GAAAUGCGAUAAGUAGUGUGAAUUGCAGAAUUCAGUGAAUCAUCGAAUCUUUGAACGCACAUUGCGCCCCUUGGUAUUCCAUGGGGCAUGCCUGUUUGAGCGUCAUCUACACCCUCAAGCUCUGCUUGGUGUUGGGCGUCUUUGUCCCGCCUCCGCGCGCGGACUCGCCCCAAAUUCAUUGGCAGCGGUCCUUGCCUCCUCUCGCGCAGCACAUUGCGCUUCUCGAGGUGUUGCGGCCCGCGUCCAGAAAGCAAUCGUUACCGUCUUUGACCUCGGAUCAGGUAGGGAUACCCGCUGAACUUAAGC
This 306-nucleotide unclassified non-coding RNA is filed under the name plant metagenome. RNAcentral's name for it is "partial contains 5.8S ribosomal RNA, internal transcribed spacer 2, and large subunit ribosomal RNA". The stretch from base 1 to 105 matches the Rfam family "5.8S ribosomal RNA", at positions 50 to 154 of the family's 154-position model. The record is from RNAcentral.